GGUUAAGCGACUAAGCGUACACGGUGGAUGCCCUGGCAGUCAGAGGCGAUGAAGGACGUGCUAAUCUGCGAAAAGCGCCGGCGAGGUGAUAUGAACCCUUGACCCGGCGAUGUCCGAAUGGGGAAACCCAGUGCAAUCCGUUGCACUAUCGUUAACUGAAUACAUAGGUUAACGAGGCGAACCGGGGGAACUGAAACAUCUAAGUACCCCGAGGAAAAGAAAUCAACCGAGAUUCCCCCAGUAGCGGCGAGCGAACGGGGAGCAGCCCGGAGUCUGAAUCAGCUUGUGUGUUAGUGGAACGGUCUGGAAAGUCCGACGGUACAGGGUGAUAGUCCCGUACACGAAAGCACACUUGCUGUGAACUCGAAGAGUAGGGCGGGACACGUGGUAUCCUGUCUGAAUAUGGGGGGACCAUCCUCCAAGGCUAAAUACUCCUGACUGACCGAUAGUGAACCAGUACCGUGAGGGAAAGGCGAAAAGAACCCCGGCGAGGGGAGUGAAAAAGAACCUGAAACCGUGUACGUACAAGCAGUGGGAGCCUACUUGUUAGGUGACUGCGUACCUUUUGUAUAAUGGGUCAGCGACUUAUAUUCUGUAGCAAGGUUAACCGUAUAGGGGAGCCGAAGGGAAACCGAGUCUUAACUGGGCGUUAAGUUGCAGGGUAUAGACCCGAAACCCGGUGAUCUAGCCAUGGGCAGGUUGAAGGUUGGGUAACACUAACUGGAGGACCGAACCGACUAAUGUUGAAAAAUUAGCGGAUGACCUGUGGCUGGGGGUGAAAGGCCAAUCAAACCGGGAGAUAGCUGGUUCUCCCCGAAAGCUAUUUAGGUAGCGCCUCGUGAACUCAUCUUCGGGGGUAGAGCACUGUUUCGGCUAGGGGGCCAUCCCGGCUUACCAACCCGAUGCAAACUACGAAUACCGAAGAAUGUUAUCACGGGAGACACACGGCGGGUGCUAACGUCCGUCGUGAAGAGGGAAACAACCCAGACCGCCAGCUAAGGUCCCAAAGUCAUGGUUAAGUGGGAAACGAUGUGGGAAGGCACAGACAGCCAGGAUGUUGGCUUAGAAGCAGCCAUCAUUUAAAGAAAGCGUAAUAGCUCACUGGUCGAGUCGGCCUGCGCGGAAGAUGUAACGGGGCUAAACCAUGCACCGAAGCUGCGGCAGCGACACUAUGUGUUGUUGGGUAGGGGAGCGUUCUGUAAGCCGUUGAAGGUGUGCUGUGAGGCAUGCUGGAGGUAUCAGAAGUGCGAAUGCUGACAUAAGUAACGAUAAAGCGGGUGAAAAGCCCGCUCGCCGGAAGACCAAGGGUUCCUGUCCAACGUUAAUCGGGGCAGGGUGAGUCGACCCCUAAGGCGAGGCCGAAAGGCGUAGUCGAUGGGAAACAGGUUAAUAUUCCUGUACUUGGUGUUACUGCGAAGGGGGGACGGAGAAGGCUAUGUCAGCCGGGCGACGGUUGUCCCGGUUUAAGCAUGUAGGCGGAGGUUCCAGGUAAAUCCGGUACCUUUUAACGCUGAGGUGUGAUGACGAGGCACUACGGUGCUGAAGUGAUAAAUGCCCUGCUUCCAGGAAAAGCCUCUAAGCAUCAGGUAACACGAAAUCGUACCCCAAACCGACACAGGUGGUCAGGUAGAGAAUACCAAGGCGCUUGAGAGAACUCGGGUGAAGGAACUAGGCAAAAUGGUGCCGUAACUUCGGGAGAAGGCACGCUGAUGUGUAGGUGAAGCCCCUGCGGGCGGAGCUGAAAUCAGUCGAAGAUACCAGCUGGCUGCAACUGUUUAUUAAAAACACAGCACUGUGCAAACACGAAAGUGGACGUAUACGGUGUGACGCCUGCCCGGUGCCGGAAGGUUAAUUGAUGGGGUUAGCUGUAAGGCGAAGCUCUUGAUCGAAGCCCCGGUAAACGGCGGCCGUAACUAUAACGGUCCUAAGGUAGCGAAAUUCCUUGUCGGGUAAGUUCCGACCUGCACGAAUGGCGUAAUGAUGGCCAGGCUGUCUCCACCCGAGACUCAGUGAAAUUGAACUCGCUGUGAAGAUGCAGUGUACCCGCGGCAAGACGGAAAGACCCCGUGAACCUUUACUAUAGCUUGACACUGAACACUGGUCCUUGAUGUGUAGGAUAGGUGGGAGGCUUUGAAGCGUGGACGCCAGUCUGCGUGGAGCCGUCCUUGAAAUACCACCCUUUAAUGGCUGGUGUUCUAACGUAGACCCGUAAUCCGGGUUGCGGACAGUGUCUGGUGGGUAGUUUGACUGGGGCGGUCUCCUCCCAAAGAGUAACGGAGGAGCACGAAGGUUGGCUAAUCCUGGUCGGACAUCAGGAGGUUAGUGCAAUGGCAUAAGCCAGCUUGACUGCGAGCGUGACGGCGCGAGCAGGUGCGAAAGCAGGUCAUAGUGAUCCGGUGGUUCUGAAUGGAAGGGCCAUCGCUCAACGGAUAAAAGGUACUCCGGGGAUAACAGGCUGAUACCGCCCAAGAGUUCAUAUCGACGGCGGUGUUUGGCACCUCGAUGUCGGCUCAUCACAUCCUGGGGCUGAAGUAGGUCCCAAGGGUAUGGCUGUUCGCCAUUUAAAGUGGUACGCGAGCUGGGUUUAGAACGUCGUGAGACAGUUCGGUCCCUAUCUGCCGUGGGCGCUGGAGAAUUGAGGGGGGCUGCUCCUAGUACGAGAGGACCGGAGUGGACGCAUCACUGGUGUUCGGGUUGUCAUGCCAAUGGCACUGCCCGGUAGCUAAAUGCGGAAGAGAUAAGUGCUGAAAGCAUCUAAGCACGAAACUUGCCCCGAGAUGAGUUCUCCCUGAGACUUUAAGUCUCCUGAAGGAACGUUAAAGACGAUGACGUUGAUAGGUCGGGUGUGUAAGCGCAGCGAUGCGUUGAGCUAACCGAUACUAAUGAACCGUGAGGCUUAACCUU
This 2904-nucleotide ribosomal RNA is filed under the name Enterobacter hormaechei. RNAcentral's name for it is "23S ribosomal RNA". It matches the Rfam family "Bacterial large subunit ribosomal RNA". The record is from RNAcentral. Lineage: Bacteria; Pseudomonadati; Pseudomonadota; Gammaproteobacteria; Enterobacterales; Enterobacteriaceae.